RNAcentral lists this ribosomal RNA (490 nucleotides) under uncultured bacterium. Its description in RNAcentral is "partial 16S ribosomal RNA". It matches the Rfam family "Bacterial small subunit ribosomal RNA", at positions 30 to 507 of the family's 1533-position model. The record is from RNAcentral.
AUUGAACGCUGGCGGCAUGCUUUACACAUGCAAGUCGGACGGCAGCACAGAGAAGCUUGCUUCUUGGGUGGCGAGUGGCGGACGGGUGAGUAAUAUAUCUGAACGUACCGAGUAAUGGGGGAUAACUAAUCGAAAGAUUAGCUAAUACCGCAUAUUCUCUGAGGAGGAAAGCAGGGGACCUUCGGGCCUUGCGUUAUUCGAGCGGCCGAUAUCUGAUUAGCUAGUUGGUGGGGUAAAGGCCUACCAAGGCGACGAUCAGUAGCGGGUCUGAGAGGAUGAUCAGCCACACUGGGACUGAGACACGGCCCAGACUCCUACGGGAGGCAGCAGUGGGGAAUUUUGGACAAUGGGCGCAAGCCUGAUCCAGCCAUGCCGCGUGUCUGAAGAAGGCCUUCGGGUUGUAAAGGACUUUUGUCAGGGAAGAAAAGGCUGUUGCUAAUACCGACAGCUGAUGACGGUACCUGAAGAAUAAGCACCGGCUAACUACGUG